Molecule: non-coding RNA, 115 nt
Organism: Triticum urartu
Lineage: Eukaryota; Viridiplantae; Streptophyta; Magnoliopsida; Poales; Poaceae
Source: Rfam
CAUCUACUCCCUUCGUUCCAAAUUACUCGUCGCAGAAAUGGAUGUAUCUAGAACUAAAAUACAUGUAGAUACAUGCAGUUCUCUGACGAGUAAUUCGAAACGGAGGGAGUAGUUG